GACGAACGCUGGCGGCGUGCUUAACACAUGCAAGUCGAGCGGUAAGGCCCUUUCGGGGGUACACGAGCGGCGAACGGGUGAGUAACACGUGGGCGACCUACCCUCAGCUUCGGGAUAAGCCUGGGAAACUGGGUCUAAUACCGGAUAUGACCUUCCCUCGCAUGGGGGUUGGUGGAAAGUUUUUCGGCUGGGGAUGGGCCCGCGGCCUAUCAGCUUGUUGGUGGGGUGAUGGCCUACCAAGGCGACGACGGGGUAGCCGGCCUGAGAGGCGACCGGCCACACUGGGACUGAGAUACGGCCCAGACUCCUACGGGAGGCAGCAGUGGGGAAUAUUGCGCAAUGGGCGGAAGCCUGACGCAGCGACGCCGCGUGGGGGAUGACGGCCUUGGUUGUUAACCGUAC
RNAcentral lists this ribosomal RNA (402 nucleotides) under uncultured bacterium. RNAcentral describes it as "bacterial SSU rRNA". It matches the Rfam family "Bacterial small subunit ribosomal RNA", at positions 28 to 435 of the family's 1533-position model. The record is from RNAcentral.